This 290-nucleotide long non-coding RNA is filed under the name Homo sapiens (human). RNAcentral's name for it is "HSALNT0316571". Lineage: Eukaryota; Metazoa; Chordata; Mammalia; Primates; Hominidae. The record is from RNAcentral.
GAUUGUGGUGGUGGAGCUAAUGACAUGUGUGCAGAAACUCUUCUGAAUGGGACUUCCCUGAUCCUGUUUUUACCUGAUCUUCAUGCUCAAUAGAAAAAGCCUCAGCUUUGGAAUCAGGGCCGUCCAGGUAGCAUGGCAUGGUACUGGAACACUAUGUCUUCUCUCUGACCUCUCGGAAUAUCUCUGUGAUUCAAUGUGUUGGCCCAUUGGAGGCCCUGGCCAGGAAUAUUUAAGGAUUCCCAUUGUUUCACACUCUUGACAGCACUUGGUAUUGUCAGACUUCAACACAA